RNAcentral lists this ribosomal RNA (497 nucleotides) under uncultured bacterium. RNAcentral describes it as "partial 16S ribosomal RNA". It matches the Rfam family "Bacterial small subunit ribosomal RNA", at positions 28 to 507 of the family's 1533-position model. The record is from RNAcentral.
GAUGAACGCUGGCGGCGUGCCUAAUACAUGCAAGUCGAGCGAACGGACGAGAAGCUUGCUUCUCUGAUGUUAGCGGCGGACGGGUGAGUAACACGUGGAUAACCUACCUAUAAGACUGGGAUAACUUCGGGAAGCCGUAGCUAAUACCGGAUAAUAUUUUGAACCGCAUGGUUCAAAAGUGAAAGACGGUCUUGCUGUCACUUAUAGAUGGAUCCGCGCUGCAUUAGAUAGUUGGUAAGGUAACGGCUUACCAAGGCAACGAUGCAUAGCCGACCUGAGAGGGUGAUCGGCCACACUGGAACUGAGACACGGUCCAGACUCCUACGGGAGGCAGCAGUAGGGAAUCUUCCGCAAUGGGCGAAAGCCUGACGGAGCAACGCCGCGUGAGUGAUGAAGGUCUUCGGAUCGUAAAACUCUGUUAUUAGGGAAGAACAUAUGUGUAAGUAACUGUGCACAUCUUGACGGUACCUAAUCAGAAAGCCACGGCUAACUACGUG